AUAUGCCUCUGGGGAUAUUGUUAAAUUGCAGAAUCUAUUUCAAUUGAUCCCAUCGGUGAGGGAGAUUUUACAUUUCUAACAAGCUCCCAGGCCUUGCCUCU
Molecule: microRNA precursor, 101 nt
Filed under: Marmota monax (woodchuck)
Lineage: Eukaryota; Metazoa; Chordata; Mammalia; Rodentia; Sciuridae
Source: RNAcentral